GUAGGGUGUAGGGCAUCAAAAGCAAGCAUGGAUGUGGUGUGGAGUGUAGUAGAUUGGGUCUGGGUGCCUUGUUCCUAGGGCUCUCAGCUCAUCACAGACACUACGGCAGGCUGGCCUAACUUGUUCCUGCUCGAUCUCUGGUGGGGUGGUGUUGCUGCCAUUGCCGCUGUUGGCCACCUUUUCCAAAAGGCGCAGCGCAGGUGACCAAAGGGAAAGGAAAAGAUGUGCGAGGGCCUAGCAGCAAGCUGCAUGCGUCCACCCGAAGCCAGCAGCAUCGAUGCUAGUGGUAGUGCUACUUACCGUGU
RNAcentral lists this long non-coding RNA (305 nucleotides) under Setaria viridis. Its description in RNAcentral is "long non-coding RNA (SVIR_LNC000863)". Lineage: Eukaryota; Viridiplantae; Streptophyta; Magnoliopsida; Poales; Poaceae. The record is from RNAcentral.